GGUCCUGUCGUCCAGUGGUUAAGACGCUGCCCUUUCAAGGCGGAAACAAGAGUUCGACUCUCUUGUGGUCCA
RNAcentral lists this transfer RNA (72 nucleotides) under Synechococcus phage B23. RNAcentral describes it as "tRNA-Glu". It matches the Rfam family "tRNA". From Rfam's summary of the family: Transfer RNA (tRNA) molecules are approximately 80 nucleotides in length. Their secondary structure includes four short double-helical elements and three loops (D, anti-codon, and T loops). Further hydrogen bonds mediate the characteristic L-shaped molecular structure. tRNAs have two regions of fundamental functional importance: the anti-codon, which is responsible for specific mRNA codon recognition, and the 3' end, to which the tRNAs corresponding amino acid is attached (by aminoacyl-tRNA synthetases). tRNAs cope with the degeneracy of the genetic code in two manners: having more than one tRNA (with a specific anti-codon) for a particular amino acid; and 'wobble' base-pairing, i.e. permitting non-standard base-pairing at the 3rd anti-codon position. RNAcentral also lists the same sequence under 1 other name. Lineage: Duplodnaviria; Heunggongvirae; Uroviricota; Caudoviricetes; Pantevenvirales; Kyanoviridae. The record is from RNAcentral.